This 380-nucleotide ribosomal RNA is filed under the name uncultured eukaryote. RNAcentral's name for it is "partial 18S ribosomal RNA". It matches the Rfam family "Eukaryotic small subunit ribosomal RNA", at positions 592 to 976 of the family's 1831-position model. The record is from RNAcentral.
CAAUAGCGUAUAUUAAAGUUGCUGCAGUUAAAAAGCUCGUAGUUGGAUUUCUGCUGAGGACGAUCGGUCCGCCCACUGGGUGAGUAUCUGGCUCGGCCUUGGUAUCUUCUUGGAGAACGUUGCUGCACUUGACUGUGUGGCGCGGUAUCCAGGACUUUUACUUUGAGGAAAUUAGAGUGUUUCAAGCAGGCGCACGCCUUGAAUACAUUAGCAUGGAAUAAUGAGAUAGGACCUUGGUUCUAUUUUGUUGGUUUCUAGAGCUGAGGUAAUGAUUAAUAGGGAUAGUUGGGGGCAUUCGUAUUUAACUGUCAGAGGUGCAAUUCUUGGAUUUGUUAAAGACGGACUACUGCGAAAGCAUUUGCCAAGGAUGUUUUCAUUGA